UGCGUAGACGGCGUAGUUAGUCUGCUGUUAAAUCCUCCGGCUUAACCGGAGACCAGCGGUGGAUACUACUAUGCUAGAGGAUGGAAGAGAGAAGUGGAAUUCUCGGAGUAGCGAUAAAAUGCAUGGAUCUCGAGAGGAACACCAAUGGCGAAGGCAGCUUCUUGGUCCAUUCCUGACGUUGAGGCACGAAAGCGUGGGGAGCAAACA
Molecule: ribosomal RNA, 207 nt
Filed under: uncultured bacterium
Lineage: Bacteria
Description: partial 16S ribosomal RNA
Rfam family: Bacterial small subunit ribosomal RNA
Source: RNAcentral